Bubalus bubalis (water buffalo) is the source of this 1091-nucleotide long non-coding RNA. RefSeq lists it as uncharacterized. The transcript is spliced from 4 exons. The record is from RefSeq and is a predicted model, not a curated record. NCBI's taxonomy places the organism in Eukaryota, Metazoa, Chordata, Mammalia, Artiodactyla, Bovidae.
CUUUUUUCUGUGGAGAAGAAAAUUCAAAUCAUUCAAUGAAAUAUCGAUUGAGGACCUACAUAGCAGUUGGUGCCAGUGUCUGACUCUGCGACCCCUGGACUGCAGCCUGCCAGGUUCCUCUGUCCAUGGAAUUUUUCAGAAGGGUCAUGAAACCAGGAGUGGAAAAUAUUCCCUAGAAGACAAGCUGGAUGACCUCGGCCAUGAAGAACACUGCAAAGAAAUGACCGGGCUUGUCUGGGAUUCUCUUCAUUCUCAAGUUGAAUCUGAUCUGACAGAUGUGCCUCGAGAAUGGACAAUGCCGGCUGCUCUGACUUGUUGAUCCACGCAGUCUAUACACUGAAAUACAAGCCACCCAAAAGCUCAGGACUUCCGCUGCGAGGAUCAGCUACGUAAAGCUCCUCUCCUCAGCCCAUGUUCUAGGAGGUAAGCUUGAUGGAGGCAGACGCUGGAGGAAGACAGGUUCAAACCACACAAGAGCAGGCUGAGCAAAGCCAUUUUGGGUUUUACUGCUGAUGCUUCUCACUAUCUUAGAUGAAGGACAAUUUUUGCUUGGAUGUUUCAUUUCCAAACUUUUGAGGACUAAUAGGUACGUAGUCAUUAAGUUGUGUCCAACUCUUUGUGACCCCCAUGGACUAUACAGCCCACCAGGCUCCUCUGCCCAUGGGAGUUCUCCAGGCAAGAACACUGGAGUGGGUUGCCGUUUCCUUACGGAGUCCUAUUAACACGACAAGCCGCAUGCAACUUAUCUAAAGUGUACUCAACAGCACCCAAAAUGGUUUACGCCCUGUUCAAUGAGACCAGUCCACCGACCGUGUGUUUGGAUGUUGUGGCAAGGGGAAACCACUAUAUUUUUAAAUGCUUACUCUCGAUUUUUACACUUACAACAUCACAGGAUAACAGCAUACAGUUCAUGGACUGGCACCAGGAGUAGCUCUAGACCAAAGAAUGAAAAAUGUUCAGUGAAGCAACUGAAAGCCUGCACCCUGAUUCCUGUUUUGUGCUUUUCUGUCCAGACUCAUGCCCCACCUCCAUAUCCUGCAGCCUCCAACAAGCCAGUCAAAGCAGGACCUAGUCUGUGAAAAUAAAUUCAA